UAGUGCUGGCUUUUUACAUCAAUAAUAUCCUUACAUUACCUAGUAAUAAAAUGCUUGCCCCUCCUGCUGAAUAGUGUUCCAGUCUAAUGGCUUUUCGCAAAGCUGCUUUGCAAUUUACAGUAGCUCCAUCUGGGCUCUUGCUUAUGUGACUCUUGAUGCUGUACAACCAAAUUGGGUCUCUUACAAAUCUUUAUACACCUUUCUGCCUUAAAUUUCCUCUAUCAUUUCAAUAAAGCUUUCCAAGACUUAGGUUGAUGCCAUGGAUUCCAGUUUUAUUGGUGAUUCUUCCUUUUCCUCUUCUUGGGAUCCAGGUAUAUUAAAAGUCCUAGCAAGAUCCUUCACGUCAGUAUCCUCUAAGCAAUUGUUAAAAACUUGCAAAGUUUGAUAAUGAAAAAAUAGCACCACCUCUUUUCCAUCCUAGCAAGAUCCCUCACAUCAGUAUCCUAUAAGCAAUCGUUAAAAACUUGCAAAGUUUGAUAAUGAAAAAAUAGCACCGCCUCUUUUUCCCUCUACACUUGUGAUUUUAGAUCCCUUAGCAAGAUCCAAAAGAGAGACCAGUUGGCCGAUGUGAGGUAUUGCCUUAAAACUCUCCUUCCAGAUCAUUUUUGGAGCCUUAUAUGAUAUGCUUAGUUGUUCCGAUGGCAAGCAACCUCUACUUCCAAUCGAGAGGUUGUGAGUUCGAGUAUCCCUAAUAGCAACGUGGGAAGAGAUUCCAAUCGAGAGGUUGUGAGUUCGAGUAUCCCUAAUAGCAACGUGGGAAGAGAAGGAUGCCGGGGUCUAUUUGAAAACAGUCUCUCUAUCCCAGGAUAGGAUUAAUGUGCAUACACACUACCCUCUCCAGACCCCACUAAGUGGCAUUAUACUGGGUUGUUGUUGUUGUAUAUGAUAUGCGGAGUCAUAAACGACAUGGUGCAUCCAUUCUUCAGAUGAAAUGGCUUGCAAAGACUAGCAAUAAUUGUAUUAUCCUCCUAAUGAUCCAGUAGCUUAAAUUAUUGAUGACACCCUUCGCCUUAUGACUCAAUUGGGAAGAGAUUACGAACAAGGAAUUCAAGUAAACAUUCCGAGAGAGAUGGAAAAUAAGUAUGGAUUGAAAUCAAGGGGGAAGAGAAUUGAAUUCAUACAUGAAAUUCCUUACAUAGGAAAGUCAAACAGAGGUUCAAUGAAGAGAUACAAGGGUUCUUCCCUUUACACUCACAAUGAGCCUCAAUAUUUCAAUCAACAAAAACUAAUGAACUAUAACCCUACUGGCAACUAUUUAUGCUAGGGAUUACAUUUGAUUUAAGUAAUUUACCAAAAUACCCUUAGAAUUCAUCUUAAUUAAAAUAUGCUAGAGGGGCUAAGUCUUGGUUUCCUCCUUGUAAAUAACCACUUAAGCAUAUUGUAGACCUUCAAAUCCUCUUAGAUGGCUCUCUUAAGGUUUCUUAAGAUCUUAAAAGAUGUUAGAAGUCUCCAAGUUCAUGAGUGCUAACUCGGGAGUUAGCAGAAGUCCUAGAAUAUAUUUUUGAGAUAAGUCGGCUCUUCCGUUUACAUUUGGGGUUCUUGGAUUUGAUUGUAUGUGAUAUGUAAUAUUUCAAGUAAUUAGGCGAAAAAGUUGGAGUAUGUACUUUGGAUUAGAUGGGUUUUGGUGGAAAAUGGAUUACUUGGAUAAAAUAUUGCAUAACAAUUGUAAGGCUUUCAAUACUGAUCAAUGGAGAACCAACUGGCUUCUUCCCUUCACAGAGGGGUCUGAGACAAGGAGACCUGCUGUCCCCGUUUUUAUUCAUUAUUGCUAUGGAAGGCUUGAACGAUAUGCUAAAAAGAGCACAGACAAACAACUGGAUCAGAGGCUUCAAGGUGAACUGCAGGGCUGAUAGCGACAUGAGGAUUUCACAUUUACAGUAUGCUGAUGAUACUUUGGUGUUAUGUGAAGUUGAUACAGAACAAUUGAAAGCAAUUUCUGGACUACGCAUAAAUUGGCACAAAAGCUUCAUUUAUCCGGUAAAUGAGGUAAUGGAAUUACAAAGUCUUGCUGAUAUUCUAGGGGGGAAUGUAGGUGAACUGCCUACUGUACACUUGGGCAUGCCACUGGGUGCCAAGAGUAAGUCCAAAGGAAUAUGGAAUGGAGUGUUGGAGAAGUGUGAAAAGAAGCUAGCAAAUUGGAAGAAUCAUUAUCUAUCUAUGGGGGGCAGACUAAUUCUGAUCAAUUCUGUACUAGAUGCUUUGCCUACUUAUAUGAUGUCUCUCUUCCCGAUUCCAAUCAAUGUAGUGAAGAGAAUUGACACAUUAAGAAGGAAUUUCCUAUGGGAAGGCAACAGUGAGAAGAAAAAGAUCCACCUGGUAAAAUGGAAAUGUUAGACUAAUUCUGAUUAAUUCUGUACUAGAUGCUUUGCCUACUUAUAUGAUGUCUCUCUUCCAGAUUCCAAUCAAUGUAGUGAAGAGAAUUGACGCAUUAAGAAGGAAUUUCUUAUGGGAAGGAAACAAUGAUAAGAAGAAAAUCCACCUGGUAAAAUGGAACAGUGUAAUUGCUAGCAAAAAGGGAGCGUAGGAAUAAAAAACAUGAGAAUUCAGAACCAAAGUUUGAUGAUGAAGUGGCUAUGGAAGCUUGCAGCAAAUGAAAAAUUAUUGUGGACAGAGUUAGUUACGGAGAAAUACGGAACAAAAGGAAAAUGGACAACCAGAUCAGUGAGAACUCCAUAUAGUGUCAGUGUAUGGAAGUCAAUUAGGAAUCUGUGGCCAAAAAUGAUUAACAAAUGCAAGUUCAAGGUAGGAAAUGGUAGAAAGAUUUCAUUGUGGGAUGACAAUUGGCUAGGACAAGGACCAUUGAAGGAUAUCUUUCGUGACAUUUAUUCCUUGAAUCACAACAACAAAUAACAUUACACGAGGCAUAGACUAAUCAUGGAUGGAAUCUUACAUUCAGAAGAAGGCUAAAUGAUUGGGAGAUUGAGAGAAUAAUUGACUUAUACAAUACUUUGGAGCGAUUCAGUGGUAUUAACUCUAAUCAAGAUCUUAUGGUAUGGCAAAGGAAUAGGCAGGGGAAGUUUACUGUUGGGUCUGCUUACAAGGAAUUCAACUUGUUUAACAAUCAAGUUGGUUGUUGGCCAUGGAAGAUGAUACGAAAAGUAAAAAUUCCAUAUAAGGUUGCUUGCUUUACAUGGAUACUGGCAAAAGAGGCAGCACUAACACAAGACAACUUAAUCAAAAGAGGAUUCAGUCUGUGUUCCAGAUGUUACUUAUGUGAAGAAGAGACAGAGACAAUUAGUCAUCUUUUUUUGCACUGCAAAAUCACUACAAAUCUAUGGAGAAUAUUCAUCAGCCUAAGGGGAAUUUCAUGGGCAAUGACGGGGAGAAUUAAUGAUGUUCUAAAUUGCUGGAAUAAAGAGAGCAACAAGUCUAGCCACAAAGAGAGAUGGAGAAUAGUUCCAGCAUGCAUAUGGUGGUCAAUAUGGAAAGAGAGAAAUCAAAGAUGUUUUGAAGACAAAUCCAAUAACAUCAAGAAGAUAAAGAUGAAAUAUUUGGCUCUUUUUUAUUUUUGGUGUAAAGGAAAGUAUAUGGAGGACCAUGAAUCUAUUUUUGAUGUUCUAGAUACAUUGUGAUAUGAUUAAGAUUUUCUUUUAGGCAUUUCCCUUGUAAAUAUGGGUGAAUUCACUAUUUUAGUGAAGUCGUUUUAUUAAUAUAUAAUAUGUUACCUUCUUCAAAAACAAAAAAGUUAGGUUGAUUUACUUUUUGACGAAGGAUGUACUACUAGUCCAAGAGAGUCUGCAUGAUUUUAUUGCAUGUCAUAGAACUGCUUUUGCUUGGUAUUUUUUAAAGGGGGCUGUUGCCAUAUGCAGAUCCAAAUAUAAUCUUAUUCUCUACACUUGAAAUUGUUCUGAUGUAGUUUGAUGUUCUGAAAAGCCCUAGGAUGAGGCCUCUUGGAUGUUAUUUCAUGUAAACUAACCAAGUUGUGAUGGAAUAUGCAGGAAAGGCUGAAUCAUGGAUGUUUGUUAAUGAAGGGGUGCGCAAGAAGUCAUAGUUGCCUAAGAGGACUCCCAUGUUGCUAAUACUCCAUAUAUUUUAGCUCAUUUACAUUGUACAUUUGUUGAUAAUCCUUACAGAC
RNAcentral lists this long non-coding RNA (4075 nucleotides) under Nicotiana benthamiana. RNAcentral describes it as "long non-coding RNA (NBEN_LNC006898)". The record is from RNAcentral. Lineage: Eukaryota; Viridiplantae; Streptophyta; Magnoliopsida; Solanales; Solanaceae.